Molecule: ribosomal RNA, 331 nt
Filed under: uncultured Glomus
Lineage: Eukaryota; Fungi; Glomeromycota; Glomeromycetes; Glomerales; Glomeraceae
Description: SSU rRNA
Rfam family: Eukaryotic small subunit ribosomal RNA
Source: RNAcentral
UUGGAGGGCAAGUCUGGUGCCAGCAGCCGCGGUAAUUCCAGCUCCAAUAGCGUAUAUUAAAGUUGUUGCAGUUAAAAAGCUCGUAGUUGAAUUUCGAGACCGGUUUAUUGGUCGUGCUUUUGUACGUACUGGUAUUAUUGGUUUCUCCUUUCUGACGAAUCUUAAUGCCAUUAAUUUGGUGUUUUGGGGAAUCAGGACUGUUACUUUGAAAAAUUGAGUGUUUAAAGCAGGCUCACGCUUGAAUACAUUAGCAUGGAAUACGGAUAGGACUUGAUUCUAUUUGUGGUUUCUAGGAUCGAGUAAUGAUUAAUGGGAUAGUUGGGGGCAUUAG